UACGUAGGUGGCGAGCGUUAUCCGGAAUGAUUGGGCGUAAAGGGUGCGUAGGCGGCCUGCUAAGUCUGGAGUAAAAGGUACCGGCUCAACCGGUACAGGCUCUGGAAACUGGCGGGCUAGAGAGCAGGAGAGGGCGAUGGAACUCCAUGUGUAGCGGUAAAAUGCGUAGAUAUUAGGAGGAACACCAGUUGCGAAGGCGGCUCUCUGGACUGUAACUGACACUGAGGCACGAAAGCGUGGGGAGCAAACAGG
This 252-nucleotide ribosomal RNA is filed under the name uncultured bacterium. Its description in RNAcentral is "partial 16S ribosomal RNA". It matches the Rfam family "Bacterial small subunit ribosomal RNA", at positions 524 to 776 of the family's 1533-position model. The record is from RNAcentral.